UACAGAGGUGGCAAGCGUUGUUCGGAAUUACUGGGCGUAAAGGGCGCGUAGGCGGUCUUGUAAGUCUUGUGUGAAAUCCCUCGGCUUAACUGAGGAACUGCACGGGAUACUGCAUGACUUGAGAUCGGGAGAGGGAAGCGGAAUUCCGGGUGUAGCGGUGAAAUGCGUAGAUAUCUGGAGGAACACCGGUGGCGAAGGCGGCAUCCUGGACCGACAUUGACGCUGAGGCGCGAAAGCCAGGGGAGCAAACGGG
Molecule: ribosomal RNA, 253 nt
Filed under: uncultured bacterium
Lineage: Bacteria
Description: partial 16S ribosomal RNA
Rfam family: Bacterial small subunit ribosomal RNA
Source: RNAcentral